GUGAGUGUAGCUCAGCUGGCAGAGCACCGGAUUGUGGCUCCGGUGGUCGAGGGUUCAAAUCCCUUCACUCACCCCA
This 76-nucleotide transfer RNA is filed under the name bacterium. Its description in RNAcentral is "tRNA-His". It matches the Rfam family "tRNA". From Rfam's summary of the family: Transfer RNA (tRNA) molecules are approximately 80 nucleotides in length. The record is from RNAcentral.